RNAcentral lists this long non-coding RNA (912 nucleotides) under Trifolium pratense (red clover). RNAcentral describes it as "long non-coding RNA (TPRA_LNC008280)". The record is from RNAcentral. Lineage: Eukaryota; Viridiplantae; Streptophyta; Magnoliopsida; Fabales; Fabaceae.
UACGUCAGGGUCUCGGAACCAUUCGGGUAGAGAAAGUCAUACGUCAGUCCCUUCCUUUUUCAUUCCAUUUUAUUGAGUGCUUUCAAAUUCGAGCAAGAUAAAAGAGAAACGAAACAAGCAAACAAAGUAUAGACAAUAUAUACAGUAACUGAAGCUUUUGCUAAUCUUAUCGACUUUGCUUAAUCGUAUUCAUUUCAAAGGAGAAAAGUUGAAUUUUGGGGUUUUUAAAGUAACGAAAUGUUUUUUUGAAAAAAUAAUCAAAUAAAAUUCUCAUCAAAAUAAAGCAACCAAAAUAAAACAAAUAACCUAAGAAGGUCUCUUAUGUUAGUGCAAAAAUUUGACUCAAAAGCUUAAAUAAGCAUUUGUUCAAAUAAGCACUUUUUCUAUAAGCUAAAAAGCAAAUAAGCAAAUAAAAUGACUUAUAACAAUAAGCCAACAAAAUUUGUGAUCUAAAAAGAUCAAAUGUUUAUUAGCGCAAACACUUGACUCAAAAGCUUAAAUAAGCAUUUGUUCAAAUAAGCACUUUUGGUCAAAACAACUUAAAUAAUCACUUACUAACAAGAAAAAGUGUUUUUAUUAAUCAAAUAAUUAUCUACUAACUCAAAAAAAGUUUUCAUAAGACAAAGUACUUAUUUAAAUAAGCCCUCAUGUGAAUAAGCACUUAUUUAAAUAAGCACUUAUGCGAAUAAGCACUUAAAACAAGCAAAAACGAACUGGGGGGUGUAAACUGGGUCUGGGGGUGAAGCAAUAGCAAUCUGCAGCACCAAAGCCCAGCCCAGUUCGUCCAAACAAAAAAAACAACAAAAAUGGACAUGGUACAGCACUGAGAAAUAGAUGCACGGUAGGCUUCCUUGAUCUGGGCCUUUUGAUUUGAUCAAACGGCUUGGAUUUAAAAAACCCUCUAACAGAUCU